Non-coding RNA from Phrynosoma platyrhinos (Desert horned lizard), 72 nucleotides. The record is from the annotation of a GenBank genome assembly. Lineage: Eukaryota; Metazoa; Chordata; Lepidosauria; Squamata; Phrynosomatidae.
GCCAGCCUGGUGUAGUGGUUUGAGUGCUGGGCUUCCAUCUUGGAGAUCAGGGUUCAAUUCCCCGCUCGAGCA